RNAcentral lists this ribosomal RNA (497 nucleotides) under uncultured bacterium. Its description in RNAcentral is "partial 16S ribosomal RNA". It matches the Rfam family "Bacterial small subunit ribosomal RNA", at positions 28 to 507 of the family's 1533-position model. The record is from RNAcentral.
GAUGAACGCUGGCGGCGUGCCUAAUACAUGCGAGUCGAGCGAACAGACGAGGAGCUUGCUCCUCUGACGUUAGCGGCGGACGGGUGAGUAACACGUGGAUAACCUACCUAUAAGACUGGGAUAACUUCGGGAAACCGGAGCUAAUACCGGAUAAUAUAUUGAACCGCAUGGUUCAAUAGUGAAAGACGGUUCUGCUGUCACUUAUAGAUGGAUCCGCGCCGCAUUAGCUAGUUGGUAAGGUAACGGCUUACCAAGGCGACGAUGCGUAGCCGACCUGAGAGGGUGAUCGGCCACACUGGAACUGAGACACGGUCCAGACUCCUACGGGAGGCAGCAGUAGGGAAUCUUCCGCAAUGGGCGAAAGCCUGACGGAGCAACGCCGCGUGAGUGAUGAAGGUCUUCGGAUCGUAAAACUCUGUUAUUAGGGAAGAACAAAUGUGUAAGUAACUAUGCACGUCUUGACGGUACCUAAUCAGAAAGCCACGGCUAACUACGUG